GCAAACUUGGUCAUUUAGAGGAAGUAAAAGUCGUAACAAGGUUUCCGUAGGUGAACCUGCGGAAGGAUCAUUAAAGAUUCUGACCUUCGGGUCAACAUUCCAGCUGUGCGCCUCGGCUGCACGCUGGUAAACCUCACACACCUGUGCACAUUUCGGUCGCAUCCUGCCACGCAGGCUUGCUUCCGCUUUAACAUUUAACCACACGUCUUGAAUGUAAUAAACUAUAAAGUAACAACUUUCAACAACGGAUCUCUUGGCUCUCGCAUCGAUGAAGAACGCAGC
This 282-nucleotide unclassified non-coding RNA is filed under the name uncultured fungus. RNAcentral describes it as "partial contains small subunit ribosomal RNA, internal transcribed spacer 1, and 5.8S ribosomal RNA". The stretch from base 1 to 73 matches the Rfam family "Eukaryotic small subunit ribosomal RNA", at positions 1759 to 1831 of the family's 1831-position model. Lineage: Eukaryota; Fungi. The record is from RNAcentral.